RNAcentral lists this unclassified non-coding RNA (370 nucleotides) under soil metagenome. RNAcentral's name for it is "partial contains 5.8S ribosomal RNA, internal transcribed spacer 2, and large subunit ribosomal RNA". The stretch from base 1 to 120 matches the Rfam family "5.8S ribosomal RNA", at positions 35 to 154 of the family's 154-position model. The record is from RNAcentral.
GAUGAAGAACGCAGCGAAAUGCGAUACGUAAUGUGAAUUGCAGAAUUCAGCGAACCAUCGAAUCUUUGAACGCACAUUGCGCCCGCCAGUAUUCUGGCGGGCAUGCCUGUCCGAGCGUCAUUUCCCCCCUCACGCGCCCCGUUGCGCGCUGGUGUUGGGGCUCCUCCGCCUGGCGGAGGGCCCCGAAAGCGAGUGGCGGGCCCGGCUGGUUGGCUCCGAGCGCAGUACCGAACGCAAGUUCUCCCCUCGCUCAGACGCCCCGCCGGCGCCCUGCCGUCAAAACGCGCAUGACGUGCAACUCUUUUUACAAGGUUGACCUCGGAUCAGGUAGGACUACCCGCUGAACUUAAGCAUAUCAAUAAGCGGAUGA